AUUCAAUAAUGAAUCAGGCGUAAUCGCUGAAGGAAUAGAAGGUCCUUUGGAAAAGUCUGAUAGGACAUAUGCAACUAUCAUACAGAGUGAUAGGUGGUAAAAUAAAAUUAAUGACAGGGUGUUGUGGGCUCUUAUUUCAGCAGGGGGCAGAAGUGAGCACAGAGAGAUCCUUGAGGAGAUGACAUCCUAGCUGAGCAGUUGUUCUGAAGAUGAGAGUAAGCAAUGCUGUAGGAAAAGGCUGUUAGGAAGAAAGGGAGGCAUCAGAAAGCCUGGGACAAUGGGACAGCAGGUGCUCUGGAAACUCUAAGCAGUUUGGAAUGGCUGUAGCACAUGCAAGAGGUCUCUGCGGAAGAUGCUCUUUGUGGAGUGAAUCGUUAACUGGGGAGGAGGCCACCUAGAUUCAGUUAUAGAACAUCGUGGAUUAGAUUGUCAUACAUCAAGGAGCCGAGGACCAUUCCCUGGGUAGCGAAGGAGCACAGUGGAAAGGCCAUAUAAAGUCACAGUGAGAAGAUGGUUAUCUGCAAGCCAGGGAGAGAGCUCUCUACUGAUACCAACCCUGCUGGCAGCUUGAUCUUGGACUUCCAGCCUCUAGAACUGUGAGAAAAUAAAUUUUAGUUGUGUAAGCC
Molecule: long non-coding RNA, 626 nt
Filed under: Homo sapiens (human)
Lineage: Eukaryota; Metazoa; Chordata; Mammalia; Primates; Hominidae
Description: HSALNT0151395
Source: RNAcentral